This 194-nucleotide ribosomal RNA is filed under the name uncultured bacterium. RNAcentral describes it as "partial 16S ribosomal RNA". It matches the Rfam family "Bacterial small subunit ribosomal RNA", at positions 8 to 185 of the family's 1533-position model. The record is from RNAcentral.
AGAGUUUGAUCCUGGCUCAGGAUGAACGCUGGCGGCGUGCUUAACACAUGCAAGUCGAGCGAAGCGAUUUUAGGAAGUUUUCGGAUGGAAUUAAAAUUGACUAGCGGCGGACGGGUGAGUAACGCGUGGGUAACCUGCCUCAUACAGGGGGAUAACAGUUAGAAAUGACUGCUAAUACCGCAUAAGCGCACAGU